CCCGGAAGAACUGGCGGGCAGCAGGCUGCCCAGGGAGCUGGGGGGGACGCUCCUUGCAAAGACACGUCCCCGUUUUUCUUCCAGGGUAAAACCGCUCCGAGGUAAGCGUUCCGAAUCCCCCUCCUGGGAGGAGGCCUCCCCAGCGAAUCGUUCUAGUUCCGGGGACAUGCAGCGUCCCUCGUCUGUAGCUUUUUCUUUGCUGUGGACAGGGAUGAGAUAUUUCUGCUCUGUUUGGAUCACAAAAUCAUCCAAUUCUGGUGCAUGGAUGAGAGGAGGGCAUCAGCAGUCAGGUGUCCUCAGCAGAAUAAUGGUCAGGGCACCUUAUGUGACCUACGUCCUUGUCCAAGAGUCACCUCCAGGACGCAGUGACAGCAUGUCACUGUGCUUUGUGCACAAAGACCAAGACCAAGACCUAAUGACCGAGUGCUUCUGGUGAAGCCGGACCAAGAUCCUUAGCAGGAGUUUAAAAGUGUCCUUGUCCCCCCAACACAGGCCACACUCUUCUCUGUCCCUUCCAUGGACUCACAUGGCCUCCGUACCCAUGAGUCAGGGGACCAAAACUGUCUCCUCACUCGGGCGGCAUUUCAGGAAAACACUGAGACGAGCGUCCCCGUGGCUUGUCCAGGGAAACCCUCGUUGCCAUCUGACUCGUGGGGCCCACAGCAAACCAGAGGAGCCCAAUCCCAGCAGGCCCCUGCGGCUGUCCGUCCAGAUGCUGCUCUGGGCUUCCAGGGACCGAGGGGAAGAACCAUGGCUACGCUUCACCCACAGAUGACUAAAGAACCUUCUCUGGGGCCAAGAAGCGCAGGUGCAGAUGUUUUCUCUGUGUGCUGCGUUUUAUGGGCUGCAGACUCCUAUCCGAGGGUGAUAAGAGGCUCCGGGCGAUUGGCUCUGCUGACUGGAGACGUACUUCACGAACUCCAGUGUGAGGCACCUCGGGACGAAUCACACACAGGAGCCCGCUCCCCACCAGAGGACGCGUGUGUUGGCAUGAAGACACACGCGCACACCCAGAUCCUAAAGCCGCUCAGGCCCCUGAGGAGGAGGUGGUCAUCAGAUAACUGUCGACCCCACUUCCCCAGUGACAUUAAAAGGCGAAAUCCCAUCGGAGAGGAGAAGGGCCUCCGGGAGGAGCCUGGGGAGCGUGCAGGGGGCCUGGCCCACAGUCCUGGGCAGCACCCCUGCUCUGUCGAGAUUCCCCUGUGGGCAUCCUGGGCUGAGCCCUCUCCUCCUACCCUACCCAGAACGCCCCCUGCACUCCUGGUCCCUUCAGAAGGGCACUCCCAGGACAAACUCCAACCAUGGUGGCGCGUCACCUUAGCCACCACAUGGUGGCUGAGGCCUGGCCUGGCAGGGCCGGGCCAUGAAGCCGGCGUCUGGGGGUGUUGAACACUGGGGGGUGCUGGACUUCCGAAAGCUUUUUAAGUGACAUUUCACAGCCUGCAUCUCCUGUCCCAUAGCACAGUCCCUCCAGGGUCUCAUUCUUCUCCGAGUCCCCCACCCCACCUGCACGUCAUGAGAGAGCGCUUCCGGGAGGGAGGUGGAAUUUUCCACCAGAGGGUCAGCCUCUGUUAUUUCUUCUUCUUUGAAGUGGAUGAAAUCGAAAGCUCUUGGAAGCUCCUGAGACGGACACUCUUGAGAGAUCUGAUCGAGGCCGUCAUGUGAGAUGAGUCAGUGAUGGGGAAUUUCAUAGGUAGAGAAAAUGAGUCACGCAACACUCAGUGGCCAGGUCACUGUGGCUUCCUCCUCUGCCCUGGAGGGGUCCCAGCUUCCCUCUGAGCCUGGCUGAGGGGUGCCCCCAGGCUCCGGGGGGGCCUUUCCUGGCCUCUGCCUCCCCCUCUCAGAGCCGUCGCCGCCUGGCUGGCUGUGGUCUUGGCUGGUGACUCUUGAAGUCAGGCUGAAAGACUGCAAUGGAGACGUGGGGUUUAAUGCCAUCAACAGCCGGUGCAAAACCCGCCCCGUCUGGGGGGACGGUUCAUCCUCCGAUGAGCAGAAGAAACAGGAGGAGAAAGGACAGAGUGUGUGUGAGAGAGGGAGAGGAAGCUUCUGGCAUCGUCCCCAGCAUUUCACCCACAAACUGGUUUAGGCCAGUGAGACAGGAUGUUCUGCAGAGCAAAGAUCAUGUGACCACCGGGAGCAAACAGAUGGUGUAUCAUUAACAAACUGCAAGGCGGCGGUUCCCCGUCUCUCCAGGGUGUCAGCGACCGAGGCGAUUUAAUUAAAAACAUAACAAAAAUAAAAUAAGAAGUGACCAGGGCCAAAGUCUCCUCCUAUUCAGACUCAACCUGGUCAAGAAUGUGGAAGGGGCAACCCCUCUGAUGCCCGGCCACCACCUGCCCCUGGACUGUGACUGGUCUGCAGACCGUCUGCACCAUCAGUCCUCCAGCAUCCUGAUGGUCACUGUGGCUGCAGUGGGGGUGGAGGGUGGCUCCAGGACAAGAUGAGGACGGCUCCCUGCCCAGCAAGCAAGCCGAAGGGAGCCCAGAGCCCCAGGACCGGGAGAGGGUGUGCAGGGAAGCCUCCCUAUGCACUAGCAGUGGCCAGGGUCACGCUGGGUCUGAGCAGCAGCUUCCAGCUGGACCAGGAGCCCAUGCAGGAGCUGUCGGAAGACCCCGAGCCCCAUCGAUGGCGUUACCCCAGCAGAUCUCAGGCCUCCGGGUCACAAAGCCAUGGCCAGGGGUAACGAGGAGCUGGAACUGAGUCCGUGAGAGGGUCGGCCCUCCCUCCAUAUCCACGGGCGCCCGUCCAGGGACCCACCUAACGCUGGUCAAAAAUAUCAGGAAAAGAAUCGCAUCUGUACUGAGCGCGUGCAGACUUUGUUUUUUGUCAUUAUUCCCUAACAACCCAGCGUAACAGGGAUCUACCAGCACGCACACGGCACUGGGAAUGACACAACCCAGGAUGACUUAACGAAUAGCGGCGGGAACUCGUAGGUCGUGUGCCAACACUAUAUCCAUUAAUCCAAGGGACUUGAGCAUCGAUGGAUUCCAGCAUCUCGAGCCUGUCCACCCGGCCACAGACGGUGACUGUGUGUGUGUUAAAGUGUCCUUUGGCAACUUCAGUAAGAAUCUGGAGGAGCGGUCUUCACUUCGCCAUCUAUGAGAUCAGUCUCGGUCCAGAUGUAACUCGGAUAAAUGACGUGUGCACCGUGACGCCUACGAGAAGCCCAGAGCUGACUCAAAGGCUGUGGAGAGAAAUACGCACCUGUCCUCGGGGAGGGAGGGCCCGGUGUGCAGGGUCACGGGAACACGCCAACCCACUCCGCCGUCUCUCCACUCGGCGGUGGUGCCUCAUCUGCAAGACUUCACUGAAGUGCCCUUCACUAGACGUGGGGAUGGCAAACCAGACCCCGUGACCCCUGUUCUAUCACAUUCUAGAAGGAGAAGGCACAUGGACAAACUAAGAGCUAGACCUUGUCAGGUAUGGUUACUUCAGGUUGAUGGGGUGGGAAGAUCUCCGUUGUUUUAAGUGUAAACUGAACGACUAGAAGAUUCCAGGCACACGAUGAUUUGAGAAACAGCCUUCCAGGAAGAAGGGGCUGCUCGUGCAAAGGGCCUGAGGUGGGAAUGAGUCUGGUGUGUUUUAGGAUUUAAGGUCAGUGGGGCUGGGGUGUGGGGAGCAAGAAAUGGGUGUCAGGGAUGUUGACAGGAGCCUGUUGAGAAACCUGGUUAUUGUGGGCCUGCAGACAAUGCAGCAUCGGGGAAUCUGUACAAAAAAGCAAUUUACCUCCAGUUAGCAGACCCACAAGCAAAGAAAGCUUUGGCCAUGUUGUCACAGAGUCAAAGGAAUAUGAACUCACACGUCUGAAGUUGUAACGGACUGUCCAGGGCUUGUGUUUCAUGCUUUAUGGUUGCCUGCUUUAGCCAACGUCAGCCAACCCCUGCAGGUCUCACAGGCUUAGAUUCUAGGACUUCUGCUCUUCUUAAGUGCUUUGCUGCAAAUGCCAACACCAAUUAAUAGUUCUACAGCCACAAUUAAUAAUCCUACGUGCGUUAUAAAGAAUGACAGUUUCUUUGCGCCAACACCACACAAACGCUUUCAUGAUGUGUACGCACUUGUACGCACCGAGCAUGACUGGAAUGUCUUCCCCAAGGACUUGAAGUUUAACUCAUAAUGACCUGAGAGAGAAAAUACGCCUUAUUUGGGGAAGUUCUGUUUGAUCUAGCUGUGGAAUCCAGACAGAUGGAGCGUGUGUUUAUUAACCAGCCUCCACAGAAAUGCUUGGCCCUUGGAGAGAUGUCAGAGCUGUACGUUUCUUGCUGCAGGUGCUCAACCAUCCCGGUGAGCUAGACCUCCAGACAGAAGCAAGAUUGGGUAGGAUCGGCCAUGAGCAAGGGCUUCGGUCACAAGGGCUCUGUUCCCCCUCUGUGGGCUUGCCAAUUGCAGAACUGGGAUGCCACCAAAAUCUCUGUUGCUGAUCAUCUGUCCAUAAAAACCCACGUCCUGGGCUGGGGAUGUAGCUCAGUUGGCAGGGUGCUUGCCUCUCAUGCACAAGGCCCUGGGUUCGAUCCCCAGCACCACCAAAAAGAAAGGAAGAAAGAAAAGCUCAUGUCCCUUUCCUCUAUUCCAGUAAGCCUUCUUCCAAGAAUCCCUUUUAAAUUUUCCCACCUUAAAGUGAUCAUUUCCUUCAGUAUUUUUAAGAAGAUAUUAUUCAGAUAAUAUUGAUAUUUGAUAUAUUCAAAUAAUACUGAUACUUAAAAAUAUCAAAUGUAACACCUACAGGAAUAAGAGUCUAUAAUUGGAGUCCUGGACCCAACACUCAGAGCAGGAAAAACUCACCCAUAACUUGCCCCUACGUCAAACACUUGGCAAAGACGGUUCUGAGCCUUCUCCACUCACUCCCCUGAACCCAGAGGUAACUACAAGUUUAAAUUUUGUGUUUAUCAUGCCAUUGCUUUUUUUUAAGUUGUGUGAUUUCUUUCCAAAUGUACUUUUUAAAUUAUUAUUAUUAUUUUUUUUACAUAGUAAAUAAACUUUAUUUGUCUGUUCCUCCAA
Molecule: long non-coding RNA, 4995 nt
Organism: Marmota monax (woodchuck)
Lineage: Eukaryota; Metazoa; Chordata; Mammalia; Rodentia; Sciuridae
Exons: 2
Source: RefSeq, a predicted model, not a curated record